GAGUAAACGCUAUGGAAUCAGUUCCAAUCCUUUUGAGAUGGGUUAGAAGAGACUAUACUUGCUGAAGAUCUGGCCACAGAGAAAAUCAAAACCAAGAACAGAGAGAUAAAGGAAUUCCUUUACAGCAUAAAGAGAACAGGUGCCUGAGGACAUUUCAGAUAUGUAUCUGAUCAUCGUGAGCAGUAUGUGCUGCUUAAACAAAAGGUUUCCUCCCCUCAUAUAAAACACAAAAAGAGAACUCAGACACCACCCGGGGUGUGCGGCUGGAGCAGAAGCUCCUUUGUGAGGCUGUGUUAUAGGUGUGUUCAUCGCAUUGACCGAGUCUUUGUCUUGUGUGUCACUAUGUCAUUUUUAUUGCCUGUGAGUGUGUCAUUAAAGCCUGUGUGCCAGAUAUAAGUUACAUUCUGUCAGUCUAUUAAGCUGUUUGAACGGCUGACCCUUCUGAUUUGUGUGAAGUCAUCUGAGAUGAACUGCGUAUGGCUUCAUUCUUAGGAGACGGAGCAGAACGGGGGUGAAGCGGAGGCAUUAAGUGUGGCAGACGCCCCUUUGUGUGUCGGUCACAAUGCUGAAGUGAAAGAAGGCAGGAUGCUUAACAUGCAAAUGAGACGAGAGAGAAGGGGAGGUCAGGGAAAUCACUCAAUGUCACAUUAACAAGUGCUCGUUCCAUGAUGGGGUAUUAAAUGCUGAGUGUGAGAGUACUGCAGCUGCAUCUCGUUCUGUGGCAUUUACUUCUGCCAAUUCAGAAUGAUCCCAAAGAGAUCAGUUCAGAUGAAGAAAAAAAAAAAAAUGUAUAUCACUGAUUGAUUAUUUUAUCCCAUUGACACAUGGCAUGUGAUCAUCCAUCAACUGUUUGACCUUGUGAAUGCAAAUGAACUAUAAGGAGUGGCAGAAAUUACCUCACUAUCUCACCAGUCGAUUUUGUAGGUGCUUAGAAUGGCAUACUGUACUGCCAUAUUGAAAUAUAAUAAAAUAAAUCCAUUUGUAUGGUUUAAAUAUUUU
Long non-coding RNA from Cyprinus carpio (common carp), 999 nucleotides. The record is from Ensembl. Lineage: Eukaryota; Metazoa; Chordata; Actinopteri; Cypriniformes; Cyprinidae.